CCUACGGGUGGCAGCAGUGAGGAAUAUUGGUCAAUGGGCGGAAGCCUGAACCAGCCAAGUAGCGGGCGGGAUGAAGGCCCUACGGGUCGUAAACCGCGUGUGCACGGGGAUAACACCCGCCACUUGUGGAGGUCUGCAGGUACCGUGCGAAUAAGGGCCGGCUAAUUCCGUGCCAGCAGCCGCGGUAAUACGGAAGGCCCGAGCGUUAUCCGGAUUCAUUGGGCUUAAAGGGAGCGUAGGCGGGCGUUCAAGUCAGCUGUAAAAGCGCUCGGCUCAACCGCGCCCCGCAGUUGAAACUGGACGCCUUGAGUUCACAACAGGCAGGCGGAAUUCGUGGUGUAGCGGUGAACUGCAUAGAUAUCACGCGGAACCCCGAUUGCGAAGGCAGCCUGCCGGGGUGCGACUGACGCUGAGGCUCGAAAGUGCGGGUAUCAAACAGGAUUAGAUACCCGUGUAGUC
This 459-nucleotide ribosomal RNA is filed under the name uncultured bacterium. RNAcentral's name for it is "partial 16S ribosomal RNA". It matches the Rfam family "Bacterial small subunit ribosomal RNA", at positions 338 to 795 of the family's 1533-position model. The record is from RNAcentral.